Molecule: ribosomal RNA, 1008 nt
Filed under: Metarhizium purpureonigrum
Lineage: Eukaryota; Fungi; Ascomycota; Sordariomycetes; Hypocreales; Clavicipitaceae
Description: SSU rRNA
Rfam family: Eukaryotic small subunit ribosomal RNA
Source: RNAcentral
GCGAAUGGCUCAUUAUAUAAGUUAUCGUCUAUUUGAUAGUACCUUACUACUUGGAUAACCGUGGUAAUUCUAGAGCUAAUACAUGCUGAAAAUCCCGACUUCGGAAGGGAUGUAUUUAUUGGAUUAAAAAACCAAUGCCCCUGUGGGCUCUCUGGUGAUUCACGAUAACUUCUCGAAUCGCAUGGCCUUGCGCCGGCGAUGGUUCAUUCGAAUUUCUUCCCUAUCAACUUUCGAUGUUUGGGUAGUGGCCAAACAUGGUUACAACGGGUAACGGAGGGUUAGGGCUCGACCCCGGAGAAGGAGCCUGAGAAACGGCUACUACAUCCAAGGAAGGCAGCAGGCGCGCAAAUUACCCAAUCCCGACUCGGGGAGGUAGUGACAAUAAAUACUGAUACAGGGCUCUUUCGGGUCUUGUAAUUGGAAUGAGUACAAUUUAAAUCCCUUAACGAGGAACAAUUGGAGGGCAAGUCUGGUGCCAGCAGCCGCGGUAAUUCCAGCUCCAAUAGCGUAUAUUAAAGUUGUUGUGGUUAAAAAGCUCGUAGUUGAACCUUGGGCCUGGCUGGCCGGUCCGCCUCACCGCGUGUACUGGUCCGGCUGGGCCUUUCCCUCUGUAGAACCCCAUGCCCUUCACUGGGCGUGGCGGGGAAACAGGACUUUUACUUUGAAAAAAUUAGAGUGCUCCAGGCAGGCCUAUGCUCGAAUACAUUAGCAUGGAAUAAUAAAAUAGGACGUGUGGUUCUAUUUUGUUGGUUUCUAGGACCGCCGUAAUGAUUAAUAGGGACAGUCGGGGGCAUCAGUAUUCAAUUGUCAGAGGUGAAAUUCUUGGAUUUAUUGAAGACUAACUACUGCGAAAGCAUUUGCCAAGGAUGUUUUCAUUAAUCAGGAACGAAAGUUAGGGGAUCGAAGACGAUCAGAUACCGUCGUAGUCUUAACCAUAAACUAUGCCGACUAGGGAUCGGACGAUGUUAUUUUUUGACUCGUUCGGCACCUUACGAGAAAUCAAAGUGC